UCAUCAUUGGGGUAUCUAGUUUAAAAAUUGUGUCAGGUGACCCGGCCAACCAAUCAAGAUGGCCGCCAUGGCUAAAAAUAGAACAUAGGGGUAAAAUGCAGUUUUUGGCUUAUCACUCAAAAACCAAAGCAUUUAGAGCAAAUCUGACAUGUGGUAGAAUUGCUUAUCAGGUCAAGAUCUAUCUGCAACAACAAAAGAAAGAGAGUUUUUAACGACCUCAGCUGGCUAUACAACCCUUACACAAUCAACUGAAUUUUGCAGAAAUCAUUAAUAGGAUAGAUUGCCCUUAUAUGAUAAUUUUUUAUUACCUUUUUGGUUUUUUUUGGCAAAGUGGGGGGGGGGGGGGGGGGGUGGUUUGCGCAACAACAAAACUACUUCACAACUUUCUCAUUACUUUGCAUUUCUUGUUAGAUAAAUUUUACAAAAAUUCUCCCC
This 435-nucleotide long non-coding RNA is filed under the name Mytilus galloprovincialis (Mediterranean mussel). The record is from RNAcentral. Lineage: Eukaryota; Metazoa; Mollusca; Bivalvia; Mytilida; Mytilidae.